GCCCAGGAUCUGAAGCCACAAAACCCCAGGCCACCAAAGCAGAGCCUGAGAACUUAACCACUGGGCCACAGGUCGUCCCCUAUAAUACUAUACUCUCACACCCAUCUGCAUAUUGCUCAACUAACUUUAAAAAGGAGAAGAAUUAGUAGAAUUCAGUGAUAUGGCAUACUGAUAAGUGCUUAUUUAAAGCUGUGUGUAUGUUUGCAUUAUUCAAUUUUAAAUACUAUUUUUUUCUUACUGAACAAUAAGCAGAAGUUCCUUAUAUUAAAAAAUAGAAGUUAUUAUGAACAAAAUAAGAAUAUUAAAGUAAUCCGUAAUUUAAUACCCUUGGAAAUCAACUGCUAACAUCUAGGUAUAUAAAUUAUUUUAUUUUAUUUUAUUGUUAAAAAAUGAGAUUGCACAUUUUACAUAAUUUAUAACCUCCCUUUGUAUUUAGUGAUAUAUCAUUGAUCAUCUUUGCACAUUGUUAUGGACUGAACUGUGUCCCCCUCCAAAUUCAUAUGUUGGUGUUCCAAGCCCCAAUGUUAGAUGUUACUAUAUUUGGAAAUAAGUUCUUAAAGGAGGAUGAAGGAUAAAAGAGGUGAUAAGGGUGGGACUCCUAAUCUAAUCUAAUCUAAUCUGGUCAGUUUAAUGUCCUUUUAAGAAGAGGAAGAGGCACAGAGAGCUCUCUCUCCUGUAGCACAGAGAAAAGCUCACGUGAGACAGGGCGAAAAGUUGCCCUCUGCCAGUAUAAGAAAGAGUGCUCAGCAGAAACCAACCUUGCUGGCACCUCGGUCUUAGACUCCAGCCUCCAGAACAGUGAGAAAAUAAAUUUCUGUUGUUUAAGCCCCCUAAUCUGUGGGUUUUGUUAUGUCCGUCCAAGGAGACUGAUACAUACAUUAACAAAUGUGUUUCCAUAACAACAUUUUAAAUAUCUUCUGUAUAUCAUAAUUUAUUUUUACUUUCUAUUAUUGGAUAGAUGGAUUACUUCAAUAUAUUUGAAUCUUAAUAUUUACUUUCAUAGGAAAAUUCCCAGAAAUAUUUUUGAAUAUGAAGCAAUGCACAUUUCUAAAUACUUUUGAUCCAUAUUGGUAACUGUUAGUCCAACUUAUACUUCUGUAAGCUGUGUAAGGGUGCGACCAUUUCAUAAUAUCUCCACAAGCGAAGGAAUUAUCAUUUUUCAAAAAUCUUUGUGAAUCUGGUAGCCAAAAAUUACAACUGAUUUACUUUUUGUUUAAUCUGAAUUUUUGGGUUUGUAGUGAAGUGAGCUUUUUGUUAGCCUGUUUAUGUUUCUGCUUUGUGACUUGCACAUGCACAUCCACUCACUGCUUUUCUCCACCCUUGAAGGUAUUUAUUUUUUUAAUUACGAGAGAAAAUAUGCUUAUAAAUAUCUAUUUUUCCAUUGUAAGAAAAUUAUAUGCAGAGCCAAGAGAGUGUUGUGAAUAUUUAUUUCAGUGACAUGAGAAACAAAUUUAUCUGUGGCGAGUGUGGCAUUGACUGGUACUUGAGCAUAAAGAGCAUGGGAAAUACUUCGUUUUCCCAUCACCAUUUCCUUAUGUUAUUUCUUCUAAUUGCUGCUUCUCAUAAAAUCUUUACUUUCUCUGCUGAUCUUUUAAGUGGUAAUAUUUCCCAUGGCCAGGUCCUCAUUUUACACAUGCCAAUUAGUUAGUCAAUAUCCUAUAUUCAUUUGCUGAUGAAUAUUCCAAAUCUGUAACAACUUCUUAUAUCUGUCUGAACCCAAUUUGUCUCUUCUGAUUUCUCUCAAAGAAUGACUACAUCUUCCACUCAGGUUCCAACAUCAGCAGCAUGGAUGCCAUCUUUGACUCAUUUAUUUUCUUCAGUUUACAUCUAAUGAGCCAAGACUUUAAUUACUUCAACAAACAUUUAUUGAUCUGCUGCACUAUAUCAGACAAUGUUCUAGACUCUUGGGAUACAGCAGGAAACAAAGCAAACUAAGCUUCUAUUUUUGCAGAACUUAUACUUAGUGGGUGUAUGUAUUAGUCAGGGUCCCGUCAGAACAAGAAAUGAACCAAGAACAUUUAAUUGAAAGAAUUAUCAACUAAUUUCAGGCAUCUAACUAUUAAGGGAUAAAGGAACUCUAAAGAAUACCAGAAUAGCAGAUACAACUUCCAAGGCUGAGAGCACACCGAAGGAAGAAACAAAUUUGGAAAAGACUGCCCUCCCCUAAAGGCUGAGAUUCAGACCUUACUGGAAAGGAUGUGGAUGUAAUCCCAUUGGAUGGUACGGAUGGUAGAGACUUUGACUGAGAUGCCACUGGCAAGGACUGGCAAGCAGGAAACUGCCUGCUGGGGAAUGAUGUGCUUAGAAGCCACGCAUUGGGCACCGGCAAGCAUCCUGGGAUGCUUCCCACUGGAAUGCCACCAAGAUGUGCUCAGAAGCUUUUCACUGGGUAUCUGGUAAAUCUGGUUGGCAAGCCACCUGCUGGGGUGUGAUUGAAAUUCACUGGGAGACCCCCACCUUGCCCAGACUCCCUGUGAAAGCUCACUGGAUAGUGAAUGCCACUGAUGUCCUGCAUGCCAACGGUGGCUGUGCGCUGUGGGAGCAGGAACAAAAGCACCCCAGAGCUUGAACCAUGCCUCUUGCAGUGUUCUUCUUGUGCUCUUUACUUACAAAGUUCAACAUUGUGCCAGCUGGCAAAGUAGAAAUGUUUGCAGGGUUCAGAUUCAGUAUCACAAGAAAGGCAAAGAAGGAAGGUUUUCUUGAUGAGGCAAAAAGUUAUUAAGUGGCACAGUCCACUCCUUUGGUUAUAAUAACAAAACAAUUCUAUGUUUCCACUUAACCAGAUAGAACUAUAAUUAGCAUAAGGAAAGUUGUCAACUGUUCCCCAAAAUGUGAAGGAACCGAGUCCCAAGAGUCACUUUAUCCAUUUCUGGCUAUAUUAAAUUACUCUUCAAAUUCUGUGACAGUCCUGUUGAAUAUUAUGUACCUGAAAACUAAAUUAUAAGGUUAACCUGUGACAACCUGUAUAUAAAUUAAUAAUGAGUAUAAGGAGAUAAAAGAAGCAAAUGACUAGCAUAUCUAAACACAUGCAUAGACAAGCAAAGAGAAAAUAAAGUCACUAUAUAUCUUGACUCCAUAAUUGGUCAUGAGUCUGUCCUUGGUCUGUAAUUGAACUAUGACUACCGUCUUCUGCUACCAUUCUGUAUUAUCCUGCUCUCAUCAGGAACUCAGAUGGUUGCAGUUUUACCUGCUGAAGUCACCCAAACACUCAUUCCCAAAGGAUCUGAUUGCUCAAUAGUCCUGAAGUUUUGGGAUUGCUGUAGUUUUCUUAGUUUUUUUCCAAGUACUAAAAGGCAUCUCAGAGAAUUCCCUGGGCUCUAGACAUAGUUCUUUCUUCCCCUCAUUGCAUAGCAUUUACCCAAUUUGUCCUUGGUAAAUGGGAUCAAUCUGUCCAGCCAGUAGGAUAACUCCUUUUUAUGCCUGUAUUUUCAGUGGCAUCAAGAGCCCAAAAUGGUCCAGUGGCAGGCUCAGUUUACAGUUUAAUGGAACCACUGUCGUGCUCCAUGGUGGAAGCCUUCCUUCCUUGGGGUCUAAGACCUCCAAAACAGCAGAGCUCAGGGUGUUCAGGAGAGAAAGCAGAAGCUAUGGGAGUGCCUUAUUAAGUAUAACAGUGAGAGAAGCCAUUUCAACGAUGACUCUUUGAUUUCAAGAACUAUGUAUGCUGGAUCUAGGGGACAAGGUGCCAUAAUGUGAUCUCUAAUUCAAGGAUAUACAGCAUCCUCUAAGAUGACUUCACUUGCCUCCCAGCUGGCACUGUAUCUGAGUUUUUCAUAAGCCAUUACACCUUCCAAUUGGACCAGCUGCUACUGGGUGAUGGAGUAUAUGGUAAGAGCUCUCUUGAAGCCCACAGAUGUGGAUUGAGGUAGAAGAGACAAUGUAAAAGAAGUUGACUUCAAAUCCAUCUGAGUCGCUGUGCAACCUGCUCAUACCUGUCAGACCUUUCUGUAGGUCUCUUAUAUAACACUGAUGGUAGAUUGCCUUUGUGAGUGACAAUUUUAUGGCAAGUUCAGGCUUAUGAUGAAGAAUUCUCCUCUGAAUACUAUUGUCUACGGCUUUCAAAGGACACAUAUAUGCAUUUCUCUUGGAUCGAUGUUCAAAAGUGGAAUGGCUCCUUCCUAGAAUUUAUGUAUGUCAAGUAUAUGUAAUAAAAACAUCAUCUUUGCCUGUCUUCCACUGUUUAAAAUGUUGUCUUUUGAUCGACACAAGGUCUAACUUUUUAAAUUAAACUUUCUUUUAAAUUAAUAGACUAUUUUUAAAGAGAUUUUUAGGGUUAUAGAAAAGUUGAGUAGUAUAAAGUACAGAGAGUCCCCAUUCAUGAUCUAGUUUAAUGUUGUCCAAGCUAGCAAUAUUUUCCUUCAUCCUUAAUGCUUUAAGAGCUUUGUUUAAGAAAUCUUUGCUUAUCCCCAAAUCAAGAGAUGUUUGCCUCCUCCAAAUUCAGAAUAUGUUCAACUUUAUCAACCAGAGCAUUUUUGUUUUAACUUUUACCUCUAGAGUUACUAUCCAUGUGAAAUUUUCACCACUACGUAUUUUCCUGUUGAUCUGCAAGAUCACUAUUGCCAUCAGUCAAGUAUCCAUAUAUGAAUGUCUAUUUCUGAAUUCCAUUAUCUUUUACUUAACAAUUCAUCAACCCUUGUAACCACUGCAACACUGUCUUAAUUACCAUGUAUCUUUGUAAACCUUGAUACACAAUUGUAUAUAUAUUUUAUUAUUUUAUUCAUAUUGUUUCUUGAUUCUUAAGAUCUCACUACCUUGAAUACCCAAUACCUUUCAGGAUUUUUUUCUGUCUUUUCUAGUUGUUCCCCAUUAUUUUCAUCUUGUCUAUCAUUACUAAUGUGGAAGCAAUGGCAAUACUUUCCAAGUAAUACACAAUAAUGGUGUGAGGUGAUGUCCCUCUUGCUCUCCCUUGCUCUGUCCAAAAUAUAUCAAAACAGAGAGGCAUAGAGAACGUGAUGGACUGAGCAUAAUGACAUACGUCUAUGCCAUCAUCUUCCCUGCAGGGCUGCUUCCCCUGUUGAGAGUUACCUGUAUUUGUUUACUUACUUAGUCUUCCUUCAUUCAUUAUAUAAUUUCUCUUGGUUUGUGGACUUCCUCUUUACUGCAGUCUCUGCAUGAUCAUUAUAGAAAACAUCUAUGUUAUAGGUUGAACUGUGUCUCCCCAAAAUUCAAGUGUUGAAGUCCUAACCCCCAGUAUGUCAAUA
This is a long non-coding RNA of Equus caballus (horse), 5198 nucleotides long. RefSeq lists it as uncharacterized. Lineage: Eukaryota; Metazoa; Chordata; Mammalia; Perissodactyla; Equidae. The record is from RefSeq and is a predicted model, not a curated record.